Long non-coding RNA from Vespa velutina, 3734 nucleotides. RefSeq lists it as uncharacterized. The record is from RefSeq and is a predicted model, not a curated record. The transcript is spliced from 3 exons. NCBI's taxonomy places the organism in Eukaryota, Metazoa, Arthropoda, Insecta, Hymenoptera, Vespidae.
UAACUCUUUCUCCAUCUUUUUUAAUCUCUAUAUGUUUCUUUUUUUAAUCUUUUGUGUCUGUAAGAAGUCUCUCUCUUUCUUAUUUUAAUUAGUACGAAUAGUUUGUUUUGUAUGGCAUCAUAUAUAAAAUCACGAAAAAGGAAUUUUUUUCACGAAUCACAUUCAUUUUUUUUUUUUUUUUUAUUUUUUUCUUCAUAAGAAUGCUUCUGACCAAUUUUACUGUUCGCUUGCAUCGCAAAGCAUGCAGCAGCUUCUCGAGGUUCGUGAUAUUUAUAAAGUGGACAUUAGAAGAAGGAAAAAAAAAAGGACAAAGAGAAAAAAGAAAGGAAAAAUAAUACUGAUCUUAAAAAAAAAAAAAAAAAAGAAGAAAAGAAAAAGAAAAAAAAAGAAACAAAAAGAAAAAAGAAAAAAAGAAAAGAGAAAAAAAAAAUGAAAAAAGACAUUCCUACAUAUUCAGGUGCACGACAUCUUUUUUAAUAGUGAGAAAAUAUAAUAUCAAGUGUGCAUAAGUUUCUUCUUACGAGAAAGAAAUUCUAUACGUUAAAACGGUCUUCGAUAAUUAUUGUAAUCUAAUGAAGUGAUAAUUACCCUGAUGAAAAAGUACAAAAAGAGGAAAUUAUAAUCAUUUCUUUUCUGUUUUAUAUUAUUACAAAACUGUGUUUCAUUACGGAAGUAUCGUUGUCUGUUAUACAAUUUUAUAACAAAAAGAAAAGAAAACAAACGAUCGCUUGUUUUUAUACCUAUAAAAAGCGCAUACUUACAUGCUAAAGUAACAAAAUAACAAAACAGGUAUUUAUUAUCAUAUAUUUUAUGCAAUAUUAUCGUUAUUUUCCUUAAUAUAUAUUAACUUUUUUUUUUCUUUUUUUUUUUUUUUACAAAGUUGCAGUUUCAAAAGAAAAGACGUUUUUGUUUUCCACCUCAGAUUUCAUAUUCCGCAAAUUUGUUCCUCUAAUUAUUUUAAUUUUAUUUAAUUUGUCACCUUGUGUCGAAGAAGCGUUCAGAUCAUUUAAUUUCCAACAACAUUUAAUUAAAUCCUUUUUAUUAAGUAUCUUUUUUCGAUCGUGAGAUGCUGUAUUUGUGUUCAUCGUACCAUUCCGUAACUUGCCUAUAUAUACAGGAAUACAUAGACAAAAUAUAUAUAUAUAUAUAUAUAUAUAUAUAUAUGUUUGUGUGUAUAUAAUAAUCGAUCAGUAAGAGAAAAUAUCAUUUUCUUAUCAUACUUUAACGAAUUACAAAUACUUCACACUAUAUAAUAAUUACCUAAUAUUUGCGAUAAUUUAGAUUUGUCUACUUUAUCCGUAGGUAAGUCACAGUAAUCUCUUGAUUCUAAAAUAAAGACACAAAAGCUUUCUCUAUAGCACAAUUACAUUAUUAGCAUAAUCUUUUUUUUAUUUUUUUUUUUUUUUUUUUUUUAUUUUUAUUUACUAUUAUCCUCUAAUUUAGAUGUACGUAGUAGUUUUUAAUUAAAAAUAUAUAGUAAGCAGUUUUUAAUCACACGCCGGUAAUUAACGAAGUAUAUAAAAUAUACAUACAUAAUACAUUUAGAGAAUAAUGCAAUUAUAUUCGCAAUUUCGACAGGCUAAAGUUCUGUAAAUUAUAACUUUACAAUGUCUUCCAUCAUUUUCCUUAGGCGCAUAUUAAAGAAAAAAAGAAGAAGAGCUCCUUUUCACGGAUUCAAAUAAUAUAACUAUAAGAACGAUGAAAUACUUGCCUGGAUAUUUAUUUCGGUGAUCGCAAUUAGGAUAAUCAAUUUGAAGAUGGUCACGUUUAUUGUUCUCUAAUUUAUUAACGAUGGAAUAUAUUCCUCGUCUGUGAUGUAAUACCAUGUCGCUCUCCCCACGAUACUUAAGUCUGUAAUAUAAUGUUAUCAUAUAUUUGCUAUUUUAUUUAUAUAUAAUUCUACUUUACUCUAAUAGCAGUCAAAAAUAUAUGAACCGCCAAGCUUGUUGAUGUCCAAUAACGGAGCCAGAUCGACAAAUUCGUGUCCAAGCUAUAGCUUCUUUGGCUGUCAUAUUAUAAUGCUUUAUUAAAUACGCUGCUAUCAGAGAACCUGUCCUGCCCAAUCCUGCCUAAUUAUGCGCAACGUUAUGAAUAUAUAUUACAUAUACCAAAUGGACAGCAAUGGCACCAUUUGUAGUUUCCACCAGUCGAAGAAAUUUACAGAGAAUUCUUUUUGGUGGUAUCGUACCAUCUGGCAUAAACAUAUCGUAAUGCGAUAUUCCUGCUUUUGUAAAACUAUUGGAUAAUAACAAUUAUAAAUAUAUUAUUAUUAUUAUUAUUAUUAUUAUUAUUAUUCAAGGUAUACAUGUAUAAAUCAGCUGAUUUAGUUUACGUUGAGAUAAAUUUUUUCUUUCUUUUUCUUUUUUUUUUUGUUAAUCGCCAAAAAUUAUUUACCUGUUAGAAUCAUAAGUUUUUGUAUUCAAUCUUACAACAGCAACAACGCCAUUGUUUAGAAAGUAAUUUAUGUAAUAUUGUGGUGGAUGAUAUAUCGUUUUAUUUUCUGUACUUGGGGUAACAAAAGCCAAUAAUUUUUGUGGUAUCAUCCAAUUUAAAUCACCAUUUUGAAAUUGUUCAUAUUUUUCGUAUUCGAUUAAAUCAAAGUCAUCAAAAUUAAAUAGGCCAAACGAUGCGGCUUUGUAAAUAGCAUUUAAACAAUCUAGAUUAUUAUUAGAAUUGAAUUAGAUCAGAAUUAAGAUUAGUAUGCUCGUUCCAAGUAUAAUAAUAAAUAACAAAGAAAAAUAUUACCAAGUAAAUGAAUGUUAUAAAUUAACGGUCCCAAAGAUGCAUCUUGAAAAAGUCUGAAUGAUACUUCGUUUUUCAAGACGAGAGGUUUGUAAGCUUCUUUAGGAGUUUUAUUUAAAUACAAAAUGGCGUAGGAGGCAAUCAAAUAAGCGGCAUUUGCCCUUUUCUGUUCACUUUUCGAAGUAUAAUGCACGAUUUGUUUAUGCUUAUUUAUUGGAUUAUUUAAUUUUUUGUUAACUUUAUAGCAGUAUCUGUUUUAAGAAAUACCUUUAUUAUUAUUAUUAUUUUUUUUUUUUUUAAUAUUUCUUUAGAAUUGUUAAAAUCUUUUGUUUAACCUGUACAAACACGCGAGAUUCAAAGGCCCAAAGUCGUUAUAAAAAUUAUUAUAAACGAGCUCGUUGUCGAUACUAAAAAAGUUUAUAUUCUCUGUUUUUCUUGGUUCCAAUCGUUCAUUUUUCAAAGUUACAAAGUAAAGUUUGUUUUUUAUAUAUUCCGCGAUGUUACAAACAUCCGGAUGAUUAUAAAUGGUACUUGUAGCUUAUAAAUAAUUUUCAAAAUAAAUUUAUUAAAAAUGAUAAUAACAAUAAUAAUAAUAAUAUUAACAUUAUUAUUAUAUAAUAUUAUUUAUAUAUUAAAUAAUAUUAUUAUUAUUAGCUUAGAAUAAUUCAUAUUAAAAUAUGUACAAUGAAAUAAUUACCGUCCAUUUCAUCCUGAUUAUGUCAGAUUUGUAGCAAUAUUGACUCCAGUAGUAACCGGAUCGUAGUUAUCGGAAGCGAUGGCGUACACUUUGAAUCAUGCUUAUUUUAUUUGACGCAAAUCGUUUAUUUUCCCCUCCUUUACUUGGCAAUUUAUUCACCGAAAUAAAUAACGACGAACUUUUUCUUAAUUUAUUAUACUCAACGAUUCAUUGUUAUUGUUUAAAUCCAUGUAUAACAAUCCAUAUCGUCCUUUGAAAUUAGUCGACCACAUGAUUUACUGAAAUGAAUAAAUUA